RNAcentral lists this transfer RNA (52 nucleotides) under Goniodes ortygis. Its description in RNAcentral is "tRNA-Gln". The record is from RNAcentral. Lineage: Eukaryota; Metazoa; Arthropoda; Insecta; Psocodea; Philopteridae.
CAUGAAGAAGUUAAUAAAAUAUCAAACUUUGAAUUUGAAGAUAGUAAAUUUA